Chelonoidis abingdonii (Abingdon island giant tortoise) is the source of this 171-nucleotide unclassified non-coding RNA. NCBI's taxonomy places the organism in Eukaryota, Metazoa, Chordata, Testudines, Testudinidae. The record is from Ensembl.
UUGACAGUUCUAAUGACCUAAAGCCUUUAUUUAUCCACAGAACAGGGUCAGCACAGGCAGGGACACUGCAAGCUUCCUCUCCCUCCCGCAUGCUGCCCUGCCAAUGUGCUUCAGUCUAGAGGCAGAUGAAGAUGAGUUCACUCUCUAUGACCUAUUCAGUCCUUGGCCUCU